GCAGUGGCUCAGUGAUAAAGUAUCUGCUUGGCAUGCUGAAGUUCCCAUGUUCAAUUCCCAGCAUCUCCA
Molecule: transfer RNA, 69 nt
Filed under: Sphaerodactylus townsendi
Lineage: Eukaryota; Metazoa; Chordata; Lepidosauria; Squamata; Sphaerodactylidae
Description: tRNA-Ala
Source: RNAcentral